Molecule: signal recognition particle RNA, 94 nt
Filed under: Providencia rettgeri
Lineage: Bacteria; Pseudomonadati; Pseudomonadota; Gammaproteobacteria; Enterobacterales; Morganellaceae
Description: signal recognition particle sRNA small type
Rfam family: Bacterial small signal recognition particle RNA
About the family: The signal recognition particle (SRP) is a universally conserved ribonucleoprotein involved in the co-translational targeting of proteins to membranes. Archaeal SRP consists of a 7S RNA and homologues of the eukaryotic SRP19 and SRP54 proteins.
Source: RNAcentral
UGUUGGUUCUCCCGCAACACUAACUGUUAACUUGGUCAGGUCGGAAGGAAGCAGCCAUAGCAGGGUCGUGUGUGCCAGGAUGUCGCUGGCAGGG